GGUUCCAUGGUGUAAUGGUUAGCACUCUGGUUUCUGAAUCCAGAGAUCCGAGUUCAAAUCUCAGUGGAUUCU
Molecule: transfer RNA, 72 nt
Filed under: Araneus ventricosus
Lineage: Eukaryota; Metazoa; Arthropoda; Arachnida; Araneae; Araneidae
Rfam family: tRNA
About the family: Transfer RNA (tRNA) molecules are approximately 80 nucleotides in length. Their secondary structure includes four short double-helical elements and three loops (D, anti-codon, and T loops).
Source: Rfam by way of RNAcentral